Molecule: long non-coding RNA, 560 nt
Organism: Sorghum bicolor (sorghum)
Lineage: Eukaryota; Viridiplantae; Streptophyta; Magnoliopsida; Poales; Poaceae
Exons: 2
Source: RefSeq, a predicted model, not a curated record
GCCAAAUUUCCAUGGGCCUUACCAUGCCUCCCUUCCACAAGAGCCCAAAAAUUAGAAUCUGUAAAUGGCUGCAGAACUCGUCGCCCCGUCAGAGUCGUUUAACGCCGGUUUCCGCCGCGUCAGUCCGCCGCCGCGGCUAACCGUCGCUGCCGUGUCAUGUCGGCGGCUGCUCUGCGAGUGAGGUGCCAUUGCUCUCCACCAUCCCUCGACGGUCGAUGCCAACGCGCGUGAGCUAGUCCCUACUCGACUCGUCUGCCGCCACCGUCGUCAUGGGCCCGACAACUCGUCCGCCGGUGCCGUACCGGCACCUCUCCUCAUCUCUUGCUCCGCCCAUGAGAUGCACAGGUUCAAUUAAAAGAAGCUACUGUUAGAUUUGGACUUGGAGGACAAAGAAGCGUCUGCACAAGUGUAGGGAAAGCCACCACAGUACCUGCGUGUCAUAGCCCUUCGGCAGCUGGGCGAUGAAGUUGUGCGCGUUGGCCGCCUUUGCCGCGGCGGCCGCUGCGCUCGCUUCCGCGAAGUACUUGACGUUCGACAACGCGGAGUAACUGAUUUUCACU